CGGUCCGUAGCGUAACCUGGUAGCGCGUCUGCUGUCGGAGCAGGAGGUUGCUGGUUCAAAUCCAGCCGGACCGACCA
RNAcentral lists this transfer RNA (77 nucleotides) under Patescibacteria group bacterium. RNAcentral describes it as "tRNA-Arg". It matches the Rfam family "tRNA". From Rfam's summary of the family: Transfer RNA (tRNA) molecules are approximately 80 nucleotides in length. Their secondary structure includes four short double-helical elements and three loops (D, anti-codon, and T loops). The record is from RNAcentral.